UUUCCAUUUUUCCAAACAUAUCUGUUUCUAUUGGACUACAAUUGAAUUCUCACCUGUCUUCUGCUAAGUUCUUCCGUUUCUCAGCCGGUGUUUUGCUAUUUCGGAUUUGCCGGCUAAUUUCUAGCUUGUAUCAUUCUUCUCAAUUCUUGAAGGGAUUUUUGCCCAUUGCUUUUCAAUUUGUUUAAAAGCUUGUUUAUUUUUCCUUCAAUCUUGGUUUUUCUAUUCUUCCACAUAAUCUACUGCUUGCCUUUUUUAUGUUAAUGUCAAUAAUCCUAUCUUCACACAUGCAUAGUUGAAAGUAGAUGAUUGUUACAUGCAACUGUAUACUAUUUUGGAUUACUGAUUAUAGAUGUCUUUUCUACUUUUGGACCUAAUUAAUCACUGCAAAUCUCAUUAUUUCUGUAAAAUUCUAUUAUAUUAAUCUUCCGGUUUUAAGAUUGUCUCUUUAGUGCUUAAUUUGUGUUUAUAUAUUCAUAGUGAGUUAACAUACUUUCAUCGUGUUCGUUAUAUUUUAUACUCCGAGACAUUUUUCAUUUUCAUUUUUUCAUUAUUUUUCUCAUUCCUUACUAGGAUGAAGUUUUAAGCUAGGAAGACGAAUGAACCAAAGGUGUUCGAUGAUAUCCCUGAAUGACUUAACUAUUUGGCAAGAAUUUCUAUUGUUUCUUUUUUUUCACUAGCGAGUAAAUUAGGACUGCAUUCAAUGAUGUAAGGUUAUGCAUCCCUUGGAUUUUAUUUAGUAUUGUAUUUCACAGGCUCCUGAAGUCAAAUUUGCUCGAGGUGAAGAAAGUGGGAGAAUACAUAUAGUACUAACAAUUCUUUACUUUGUCUUUCUUCUCAGUAUUGGUUGCCUAUCUAAUGUGACCUUGUGGCGAUCUCCAGAGAUAUGGAAGGGAAAAGGGAAUGUUUACCUGAGUUUCAAAAGUUGCUCAUCGGAUUUUACUUUUGGAAAUUGGUUGCAUGAAGACAUUUGAUUCAGUCCCUGCUCUGAGGAAAGCAGUUAUAUUAGGCUACAACCCUAUUACACCUUGGAUGUCUGUAGUUUACAGUUUUAUUACAUGGAAGAAAUAGCAGAAAGUAUGAUUUGAGAAGUAAAUACAAGAAUUUGCAUGCCAAGCUCUUCAAAAGCAAAGUCGAUAACUGGUAGUUAAGACAUGAGACAUUGGAGCUGAUUUUCGACGGAUGAAUCAAGGUUUUACUUUCUAAAAUGUGCAAAUGCUGCUCCAAACAAGCUAUUUGUUGGUGUUGGUGACCCAAAUGCUGAUCACAAGUGUUGGGAAAGGCAUGAAGAUAUGGACACUGUCCGUAGCGUCUAUUAUGUGUCUCCCAGCAAUCCUGGUUCUGAUGCUGCUGGAGAAAUGCCUCAUUAGUUUUCCGGUUUGUUGAUCCAGUUUAUUCGAAAAAGCUACUGGGAAAUGCAGUUAAAGUGUUUAGGUCUGUAGUUCAAUACAAAGGGUGAUCUUAUAGUGAUUCACUAGGCUCUGCAGCCUUAGUAGCCAUAACAACUAAAAGUGGACGGAGGUAGUAUGUUAUUAAAUCUAUAUUGCAGUAGUCUCAAAUAACUUGGCUCCUAAAGAUUUAGUAGCCAUUGAAUUGAACUUGGGUGAAGGUUUUUAGAAGACUAAUUACUCAGAUAAGUUGGUAAUAAAUUGAAAUGAUGUUCCAAAUCUUUAGCAAACUUUGAUAUUUAGUUUUAAGCGAUAUUUGUGCACUUUCUUUUAGUAGUCAUUCAUUCGCAUGUGUUUUGCUCUUGCAGGGAGCCAAUCUAGAUGAUUCCUUUGAGGAUUCACAAAUUGGAAGAUCACUAUUGAGAAAUUAUUGGUUUUUGUUGUCGUCGUUGAUUUUCUCCAACUGUCCAAAGAAGCCAGGGGAAUAUACUUCUUAGUACGAUAAAGUGAAAGGAGACAAGACUCAGCCAACUAUUGUUUCAGCAAAUGAUCGAGCCAUACAAGAAAUAGAAGCUCUGGAUGAUAUUCUUCCUUUUUAUAUUUCAGAUAUUUGGAGAAUCAAAGAAGAACAACAAAACGUCCAUAAAAGGCCUAUAUCCAAGAGUUUUCUGACAAGGCAAAUCAGAGUGAACAUUUCUUGGUUUAAUACUCAUAGGAUCAUCCAUUACUUGUGGAAUUUUUGUUAACAACAUGAGUUUCUUCUGUUUGUUUUUUACUCUUUAGAAUUGUUAAGUAUUUGUUGGAGAUCUAUGAUAGCGUUUCAUGGUUUAUUGAUAUUUUCUCUUCUA
Molecule: long non-coding RNA, 2233 nt
Organism: Solanum tuberosum (potato)
Lineage: Eukaryota; Viridiplantae; Streptophyta; Magnoliopsida; Solanales; Solanaceae
Exons: 7
Source: RefSeq, a predicted model, not a curated record